CUGUCGGCAUGCUUACACAUGCAAGUCGAACGGGAAGCCCUUCUUCGGAGGGGUGGAGAGUGGCGCACGGGUGAGUAACGCGUGGGUAUCUGCCUUGUGGUACGGAACAACCCAGGGAAACUUGGGCUAAUACCGUAUACGCCCUCUGAUGUUAGCGCAUUGGGGGGGAAAGAUUUAUCGCCAUGGGAGGAGCCCGCGUCGGAUUAGCUAGUUGGUGGGGUAACGGCCCACCAAGGCAACGAUCCGUAGCUGGUCUGAGAGGAUGAUCAGCCACACUGGGACUGAGACACGGCCCAGACUCCUACGGGAGGCAGCAGUGGGGAAUAUUGGACAAUGGGCGCAAGCCUGAUCCAGCAAUGCCGCGUGGGUGAUGAAGGCCUUCGGGUUGUAAAGCCCUUUCGACGGGGAAGAUGAUGACGGUACCCGUAGAAGAAGCCCCGGCUAACUCCGUGCCAGCAGCCGCGGUAAUACGGA
RNAcentral lists this ribosomal RNA (474 nucleotides) under uncultured Alphaproteobacteria bacterium. Its description in RNAcentral is "bacterial SSU rRNA". It matches the Rfam family "Bacterial small subunit ribosomal RNA", at positions 36 to 529 of the family's 1533-position model. Lineage: Bacteria; Pseudomonadati; Pseudomonadota; Alphaproteobacteria. The record is from RNAcentral.